AUACGAAGGGGGCUAGCGUUGUUCGGAUUUACUGGGCGUAAAGCGCACGUAGGCGGAUUGAUUAGUUAGGGGUGAAAUCCCGAGGCUCAACCUCGGAACUGCCUCUAAAACUGUCAAUCUCGAGACCGGAAGAGGUGAGUGGAACUCCUAGAGUAGAGGUGGAAUUCGUAGAUAUUAGGAAGAACACCAGUGGCGAAGGCGGCUUACUGGUCCGGUACUGACGCUGAGGUGCGAAAGCGUGGGGAGCGAACAGGAUUAGAAACCCCAGUAGUCC
Molecule: ribosomal RNA, 274 nt
Filed under: uncultured bacterium
Lineage: Bacteria
Description: partial 16S ribosomal RNA
Rfam family: Bacterial small subunit ribosomal RNA
Source: RNAcentral